GACGAACGCUGGCGGCGUGCUUAACACAUGCAAGUCGAGCGGAAGGGCCUGCUUUCCCUUGUGGAUUGCGGGUACUCGAGUGGCGAACGGGUGAGUAACACGUGAGUGAUCUGCCCCCAACUUGGGUAUAAGCCUGGGAAACUGGGUCUAAUUCCCGAUAGGACUGCAGGGUGGUGCCUGUGGUGGAAAACGAUUUUCUAGUGGUUGGGGAUGAGCUCGCGGCCUAUCAGCUUGUUGGUGGGGUAAUGGCCUACCAAGGCGGCGACGGGUAGCCGGCCUGAGAGGGUGGACGGCCAGAUUGGGACUGAGAUCCGGCCCAGACUCCUACGGGAGGCAGCAGUGGGGAAUAAUGCACAAUGGGCGGAAGCCUGAUGCAGCGACGCCGCGUGGGGGAUGACGGCCUUCGGGUUGUAAACUCCUUUCGACCGCGAGGAAGCCACCUGGUUGGAAGGGUGGUGACGGUAGUGGUAGAAGAAGCACCGGCUAACUACGUG
RNAcentral lists this ribosomal RNA (494 nucleotides) under uncultured bacterium. RNAcentral's name for it is "partial 16S ribosomal RNA". It matches the Rfam family "Bacterial small subunit ribosomal RNA", at positions 28 to 507 of the family's 1533-position model. The record is from RNAcentral.